Molecule: small nuclear RNA, 92 nt
Filed under: Chinchilla lanigera (long-tailed chinchilla)
Lineage: Eukaryota; Metazoa; Chordata; Mammalia; Rodentia; Chinchillidae
Source: RNAcentral
GUGCUUGCCUGGGCAGCACAUAUACUAAAAUUGGAAUGAUACAGAGAAGAUUAGCAUGGCCCCUGUGCAGAAGCCAGAUUUUCCCAACUUUC